CGAUGAAAUCCUCGAGUCCUUGGUCAAGACAGCAACUCAAGGACCAGCAAGAGGUCACCAACAUAGUUCAGGAGGUCCAAGAGAGAGAAAAAGGACUAGGCAUGCCGAUAGAAAAUCAUUGAAAAGAUCCCGUACCAGAGAAGGAUUUCCGAUUGGAACAGAAAUUGAACCAUAAAUUUAAUGAUUUUCGACAAGACUAUCACUUAAGCUUCAGUGCGCAGAACUCUGAAAAAUGGACUAUCGGAAGAAGAAAAGAAACACCUGGCUGCAUACAUCAAAGGAUACUGAUAAUAAAAAGUGAUACUACAAAAAAAUCUAGUUAAAAUUUUGACUACCAGAGACUGUAAUGAAUUAAAUUAAUUCUAUAACUAACAAUCAGUCUUUUAAUCGAUGGGAAAUUAUAUUUUAUUGGAGCCGAAAACAAUCUGAGAUUGCAUAAUUUUGCUAUGCAUCCUGAAGUCUUUUUAUAUAAUAUUUAUUAAAAUAAGAUUUAUUAUUCUUUAAUAUAUAUUAAAUAUAAAUACAACAAACACGUAU
Molecule: long non-coding RNA, 537 nt
Organism: Ctenocephalides felis (cat flea)
Lineage: Eukaryota; Metazoa; Arthropoda; Insecta; Siphonaptera; Pulicidae
Exons: 3
Source: RefSeq, a predicted model, not a curated record